GGCGGCGUAGCUCAGCUGGCAGAGCAAACGGCUCAUAAUCGUUGGGUCACUGGUUCGAGUCCAGUCGCCGCCACCA
This 76-nucleotide transfer RNA is filed under the name Anaerolineae bacterium. Its description in RNAcentral is "tRNA-Met". It matches the Rfam family "tRNA". Rfam says of the family: Transfer RNA (tRNA) molecules are approximately 80 nucleotides in length. Their secondary structure includes four short double-helical elements and three loops (D, anti-codon, and T loops). The record is from RNAcentral. Lineage: Bacteria; Bacillati; Chloroflexota; Anaerolineae.